GUAGUCCACGCCCUAAACGAUGUCUACUAGUUGUCGGGGAUUAAUUUCCUUGGUAACGCAGCUAACGCGGGAAGUAGACCGCCUGGGGAGUACGGUCGCAAGAUUAAAACUCAAAGGAAUUGACGGGGACCCGCACAAGCGGUGGAUGAUGUGGAUUAAUUCGAUGCAACGCGAAAAACCUUACCUACGCUUGACAUGUCUGGAAUUCCGCAGAGAUGUGGAAGUGCUCGAAAGAGAGCCAGAACACAGGUGCUGCAUGGCUGUCGUCAGCUCGUGUCGUGAGAUGUUGGGUUAAGUCCCGCAACGAGCGCAACCCUUAUCAUUAGUUGCUACGAAAGGGCACUCUAAUGAGACUGCCGGUGACAAACCGGA
Molecule: ribosomal RNA, 372 nt
Filed under: uncultured bacterium
Lineage: Bacteria
Description: bacterial SSU rRNA
Rfam family: Bacterial small subunit ribosomal RNA
Source: RNAcentral